CUCUGGACGGAUACUGACGCUGAGGCGCGAAAGCUAGGGGAGCAAACAGGAUUAGAUACCCUGGUAGUCCUAGCCGUAAACAAUGUGCACUUGGUGUAAGCCGGUUUUCGGUUUGUGCCGAAGUUAACGCGAUAAGUGCACCGCCUGGGGAGUACGGUCGCAAGUCUGAAACUCAAAGGAAUUGACGGGGGCCCGCACAAGCGGUGGAGCAUGUGGUUCAAUUCGAUGCAACGCGAAGAACCUUACCUGGGUUUGAACUGUGAUUGAAAUUUCCAGAGAUGGAAAUGGCUAGCAAUAGACAAUUACAGAGGUGCUGCAUGGCUGUCGUCAGCUCGUGUCGUGAGAUGUUGGGUUAAGUCCCGCAACGAGCGCAACCCUUGCCUCUAGUUGCUCGCUGUAACAGGCAGCACUCUAGACGGGACCGCCGGUGAUAAACCGGAGGAAGGUGGGGAUGACGUCAAGUCAUCAUGGCCUUUAUGUCCAGGGCUACACACGUGCUACAAUGACCGGUAACAAAGGGUCGCCAACCCGCAAGGGGGAGCCAAUCCCGACAAAACCGGCCUCAGUUCGGAUUGCACUCUGCAACUCGAGUGCAUGAAGUUGGAAUCGCUAGUAAUCGCGGAUCAGCAUGCCGCGGUGAAUACGUUU
This 648-nucleotide ribosomal RNA is filed under the name uncultured bacterium. Its description in RNAcentral is "bacterial SSU rRNA". It matches the Rfam family "Bacterial small subunit ribosomal RNA", at positions 727 to 1373 of the family's 1533-position model. The record is from RNAcentral.